Molecule: ribosomal RNA, 524 nt
Filed under: uncultured bacterium
Lineage: Bacteria
Description: partial 16S ribosomal RNA
Rfam family: Bacterial small subunit ribosomal RNA
Source: RNAcentral
GACGAACGCUGGCGGCGUACUUAACACAUGCAAGUCGAACGAGACGAUUGAAAGCUUGCUUUCGAAAGUCGAGUGGCAAACGGGUGAGUAACGCGUAGACAACCUGCCUUUGAGAUGGGGACAACAGUUCGAAAGGACUGCUAAUACCGAAUGUUGUAUAUUUUCCACAUGGAAGAUAUAUUAAAGAUGGCUUCUAUUUAUAAGCUAUCGCUCAAAGAUGGGUCUGCGUCUGAUUAGCUGGUUGGUGGGGUAGCGGCCUACCAAGGCGACGAUCAGUAGCCGGUCUGAGAGGAUGAACGGCCACAUUGGGACUGAGACACGGCCCAGACUCCUACGGGAGGCAGAAGUGGGGAAUCUUCCACAAUGGACGAAAGUCUGAUGGAGCAACGCCGCGUGAGUGAAGAAGGGUUUCGGCUCGUAAAGCUCUGUUGUCGGGGACGAAUGUGCAGUAUUUGAAUAAAGUACUGCAAUGACGGUACCUGACGAGGAAGCCACGGCUAACUACGUGCCAGCCGCCGCCGUAA